RNAcentral lists this ribosomal RNA (447 nucleotides) under uncultured bacterium. Its description in RNAcentral is "bacterial SSU rRNA". It matches the Rfam family "Bacterial small subunit ribosomal RNA", at positions 355 to 786 of the family's 1533-position model. The record is from RNAcentral.
UGAGGAAUAUUGGUCAAUGGGCGAGAGCCUGAACCAGCCAAGUCGCGUGAGGGAAGACGGUCCUACGGAUUGUAAACCUCUUUUGUCGGGGAGCAAUAAAGCGUACGCGUACGCAGAUGCGAGUACCCGCAAGAAAAGACAUCGGCUAACUCCGUGCCAGCAGCCGCGGUAAUACGGAGGAUGCGAGCGUUAUCCGGAUUUAUUGGGUUUAAAGGGUGCGCAGGCGGAAAAGUGCAAGUCAGCGGUCAAAACGACGGGGGCUCAAACCCCCGUCUCGCCGUUGAAAACUGUCUUUUCUAGAGUGAGCGAGAAAGUAUGCGGAAUGCGUGGUGUAGCGGUGAAAAUGCAUAGAUAUCACGCAGAAACUCCGAUUGCGAAGGCAGCAUACCGGCGCUCAAACUGACGCUCAUGCACGAAAAGCGUGGGUAUCGAACAGGAUUAGAUACC